UACCUACGGGAGGCAGCAGUGAGGAAUAUUGGUCAAUGGGCGGAAGCCUGAACCAGCCAAGUCGCGUGAGGGAAUAAGGCCCUACGGGUCGUAAACCUCUUUUGCCGGGGAGCAAGGGCCGGGACGCGUCCCGGCCCGGAGAGUACCCGGAGAAAAAGCAUCGGCUAACUCCGUGCCAGCAGCCGCGGUAAUACGGAGGAUGCGAGCGUUAUCCGGAUUUACUGGGUGUAAAGGGCGUGUAGGCGGGAUGGUAAGUCAGAUGGGAAAACUAUGGGCUCAACCCAUAGCCUGCAUUUGAAACUAUU
RNAcentral lists this ribosomal RNA (305 nucleotides) under uncultured bacterium. RNAcentral's name for it is "bacterial SSU rRNA". It matches the Rfam family "Bacterial small subunit ribosomal RNA", at positions 335 to 637 of the family's 1533-position model. The record is from RNAcentral.